Molecule: ribosomal RNA, 445 nt
Filed under: uncultured bacterium
Lineage: Bacteria
Description: partial 16S ribosomal RNA
Rfam family: Bacterial small subunit ribosomal RNA
Source: RNAcentral
GUGAGGAAUAUUGGUCAAUGGAGGCAACUCUGAACCAGCCAAGUCGCGUGAAGGAUGAAGGUCUUAUGGAUUGUAAACUUCUUUUGCAAGGGAAUAAAGUGGGGGACGUGUCCUCCUUUGCAUGUACCUUGCGAAUAAGGAUCGGCUAACUCCGUGCCAGCAGCCGCGGUAAUACGGAGGAUCCGAGCGUUAUCCGGAUUUAUUGGGUUUAAAGGGUGCGCAGGCGGGAUGUUAAGUCGGCGGUGAAAUUUUGCAGCUCAACUGUAAAAGUGCCUUCGAUACUGGCUUUCUUGAGUGUGGAUGAAGUAGGCGGAAUUUGUGGUGUAGCGGUGAAAUGCUUAGAUAUCACGAGGAACUCCGAUUGCGCAGGCAGCUUACUAAACCACUACUGACGCUCAUGCACGAAGGCGUGGGGAUCAAACAGGAUUAGAUACCCCGGUAGUCC